RNAcentral lists this ribosomal RNA (251 nucleotides) under uncultured prokaryote. Its description in RNAcentral is "partial 16S ribosomal RNA". It matches the Rfam family "Bacterial small subunit ribosomal RNA", at positions 525 to 775 of the family's 1533-position model. The record is from RNAcentral.
ACAGAGGUGGCAAGCGUUGUUCGGAAUUAUUGGGCGUAAAGAGCACGUAGGCGGCCCUACAAGUCAGCUGUGAAAUCCUUCUGCUCAACGGAAGAACGGCAGUUGAUACUAUAGGGCUGGAGUGCGGGAGGGGAGAGUGGAACUUCUGGUGGAGCGGUGAAAUGCGUAGAUAUCGGGAGGAACACCAGUGGCGAAAGCGGCGCCCUGGCACUGGCCUGGCGCUCAUGUGCGAAAGCGUGGGGAGCGAACGG